AUACGUAGGUGGCAAGCGUUAUCCGGAAUUAUUGGGCGUAAAGCGCGCGCAGGCGGUUUCUUAAGUCUGAUGUGAAAGCCCACGGCUCAACCGUGGAGGGUCAUUGGAAACUGGGGAACUUGAGUGCAGAAGAGGAGAGUGGAAUUCCAUGUGUAGCGGUGAAAUGCGUAGAGAUAUGGAGGAACACCAGUGGCGAAGGCGACUCUCUGGUCUGCAACUGACGCUGAGGCGCGAAAGCGUGGGGAGCAAACAGGAUUAGAUACCCUGGUAGUCCACGCUGUAAACGAUGAGUGCUAGGUGUCGGGGGGUCCAACCCUCGGUGCCGGCGCAAACGCAUUAAGCACUCCGCCUGGGGAGUACGGUCGCAAGACUGAA
This 375-nucleotide ribosomal RNA is filed under the name uncultured bacterium. RNAcentral describes it as "bacterial SSU rRNA". It matches the Rfam family "Bacterial small subunit ribosomal RNA", at positions 523 to 898 of the family's 1533-position model. The record is from RNAcentral.